CAGGGAAAAGCUCACAGUUGGAACCUAGCUGCCUUAGGUAGUUCGGAUUGUAAACUGAAAAAGUGUUAUCCAGGCUAGCCGAGUAAAAAAGUUUCUUGGAAUAGAACAUCAUGGAGGGUGAGAAUCCCGUCUUUGGCUUGAGCAUAGUCUUUUGUGUUACACUUUAACGAGUCAGGUUGUUUGGGAAUGCAGCCUAAAGUGGGAGGUAAAUCCCUCCUAAAGCUAAAUAUUGGCGAGAGACCGAUAGCAAACAAGUACCGUGAGGGAAAGAUGAAAAGAACUUUGAAAAGAGAGUUAAACAGUAUGUGAAAUUGCUAAAAGGGAAGCGUUUGAAGACAGACUAGCUUGGUUAUAAUCAGCCUGGAUUUUUCUUGGUGUACUUGUAGCCUAUGCUUGCCAACAGCAGUUUGGUUUGGCUGAAAAAACUAGUAGUAAGGUGGCUCUCUUCGGGGAGUGUUAUAGACUAUUAGAAAAUCAGUUGGACUGGACUGAGGAAUGCAAUGCAGCUUGCCUUGGGGUGAACCAGAUUGGAUAGGAACCAUUGUUCCUUGAAGGUUUGGGUAGCUCUUCGAACUGUAUUUAGGUUGUUGGCUUAAUGUCUUUAAACG
RNAcentral lists this ribosomal RNA (608 nucleotides) under Circinella chinensis. Its description in RNAcentral is "eukaryotic LSU rRNA". It matches the Rfam family "Eukaryotic large subunit ribosomal RNA", at positions 98 to 646 of the family's 3401-position model. The record is from RNAcentral. Lineage: Eukaryota; Fungi; Mucoromycota; Mucoromycetes; Mucorales; Lichtheimiaceae. RNAcentral also lists the same sequence under 1 other name.